CAAGUCGAACGAGGUCUUUUUUUUGUUUACAAGAAAAAGAUUGCAGUGGCGGACGGGUGAGGAACACGUAAGAACUUACCUUUUGGCGGGGGAUAACAUCGGGAAACUGUUGCUAAUACCCCAUAAUGCUGAGGAGCGAAAGGGAAACCACCAAAAGAGAGGCUUGCGUCUGAUUAGCUAGUUGGCGGAGGUAAAUGCUCCCCAAGGCGACGAUCAGUAGCUGGUCUGAGAGGAUGAUCAGCCACACUGGGACUGAGACACGGCCCAGACUCCUACGGGAGGCAGCAGUGGGGAAUUUUCCACAAUGGGCGAAAGCCUGAUGGAGCAAUACCGCGUGAGGGAAGACGGAUCGUGGUCUGUAAACCUCUUUUCUUAACGAAGAAAUUUUGACGGUAGUUAAGGAAUAAGCACCGGCUAACUCCGUGCCAGCAGCCGCGGUAAUACGGGGGGUGCAAGCGUUGUCCGGAAUGAUUGGGCGUAAAGCAUCUGUAGGUGGUUCUUAAAGUCGACUGUUAAAGCCCAGGGCUUAACUUUGGAUAAGCGGUCGAGUACUUAAGGACUUGAGUUCGGUAGGGGUAGAGGGAAUUCCUAGUGGAGCGGUGAAAUGCACAGAGAUUAGGAAGAACACCGAGGGCGAAAGCACUCUACUGGGCCGUAACUGACACUGAGAGAUGAAAGUUGGGGGAGCGAAAAGGAUUAGAUACCCUUGUAGUCCCAACUGUAAACGAUGGAUACUAAGUGCUGGCAAAACCAGUGCUGUAGCUAACGCGUUAAGUAUCCCGCCUGGGGAGUAUGCUCGCAAGAGUGAAACUCAAAGGAAUUGACGG
RNAcentral lists this ribosomal RNA (827 nucleotides) under uncultured bacterium. RNAcentral describes it as "bacterial SSU rRNA". It matches the Rfam family "Bacterial small subunit ribosomal RNA", at positions 58 to 916 of the family's 1533-position model. The record is from RNAcentral.